UCAUUAGCUUGCUUUUGAAGAUCAGCGGCGGACGGGUGAGUAACACGUGGGCAACCUGCCUGUAAGACUGGGAUAACUUCGGGAAACCGGAGCUAAUACCGGAUAAUCCUUUCCCUCUCAUGAGGGAAAGCUGAAAGACGGUUUCGGCUGUCACUUACAGAUGGGCCCGCGGCGCAUUAGCUAGUUGGUGAGGUAACGGCUCACCAAGGCGACGAUGCGUAGCCGACCUGAGAGGGUGAUCGGCCACACUGGGACUGAGACACGGCCCAGACUCCUACGGGAGGCAGCAGUAGGGAAUCUUCCGCAAUGGACGAAAGUCUGACGGAGCAACGCCGCGUGAGCGAUGAAGGCCUUCGGGUCGUAAAGCUCUGUUGUCAGGGAAGAACAAGUACCGGAGUAACUGCCGGUACCUUGACGGUACCUGACCAGAAAGCCACGGCUAACUACGUGCCAGCAGCCGCGGUAAUACGUAGGUGGCAAGCGUUGUCCGGAAUUAUUGGGCGUAAAGCGCGCGCAGGCGGUUCCUUAAGUCUGAUGUGAAAGCCCCCGGCUCAACCGGGGAGGGUCAUUGGAAACUGGGGAACUUGAGUGCAGAAGAGGAGAGCGGAAUUCCACGUGUAGCGGUGAAAUGCGUAGAGAUGUGGAGGAACACCAGUGGCGAAGGCGGCUCUCUGGUCUGUAACUGACGCUGAGGCGCGAAAGCGUGGGGAGCGAACAGGAUUAGAUACCCUGGUAGUCCACGCCGUAAACGAUGAGUGCUAAGUGUUAGAGGGUUUCCGCCCUUUAGUGCUGCAGCAAACGCAUUAAGCACUCCGCCUGGGGAGUACGGCCGCAAGGCUGAAACUCAAAGGAAUUGACGGGGGCCCGCACAAGCGGUGGAGCAUGUGGUUUAAUUCGAAGCAACGCGAAGAACCUUACCAGGUCUUGACAUCCUCUGACAACCCUAGAGAUAGGGCGUUCCCCUUCGGGGGACAGAGUGACAGGUGGUGCAUGGUUGUCGUCAGCUCGUGUCGUGAGAUGUUGGGUUAAGUCCCGCAACGAGCGCAACCCUUGAUCUUAGUUGCCAGCAUUAAGUUGGGCACUCUAAGGUGACUGCCGGUGACAAACCGGAGGAAGGUGGGGAUGACGUCAAUCAUCAUGCCCCUUAUG
This 1149-nucleotide ribosomal RNA is filed under the name Bacillus sp. (in: firmicutes). RNAcentral's name for it is "bacterial SSU rRNA". It matches the Rfam family "Bacterial small subunit ribosomal RNA", at positions 72 to 1206 of the family's 1533-position model. The record is from RNAcentral. Lineage: Bacteria; Bacillati; Bacillota; Bacilli; Caryophanales; Bacillaceae.